Molecule: long non-coding RNA, 976 nt
Filed under: Myripristis murdjan (pinecone soldierfish)
Lineage: Eukaryota; Metazoa; Chordata; Actinopteri; Holocentriformes; Holocentridae
Description: lncRNA (ENSMMDG00005015574.1)
Source: RNAcentral
UGUGCGGAUGUGCAUAUGAUUUCAUCUAAACUGUGGAUGCUUAUUAGCUGUGUGUAUGUGUGCAGAGCUCGGAUCUGACCAAGCCUCUCUGGACGCUGUGUGUGGUCAGCGAUCAGAGCAAAAGCAAGAGCAUUGAGGUGAAGAAGGACACAGAGAGAAUAGACAAGAUCAAGGCCAUAAAACAGGCCUGGGAAAUGGCAGAGCCUGGCCGCUCUGUCAAGGCCUUAAAGUCACGUCAGACAUUUCUCAACCAUGUCCAACAUGGAGUGAGUGGUGACACACCUGUCGGUGACUCAGAGAGCAAAGAGCCUGCUACUUCCCAGCUUUCUCCCGGCUCGUCCAGUCACGAGUUGCCUGUCGCGCUGCCCAGUCUCCCACAGUCACAUGUUCCCAUGGACUACACUCCUUUCAUCAGAUGCCAAAAGGAUUUUCCAGUGAUGAAGGACCCAGAGGUAGAGGAGGCCCAGCAGAGGGCACGCUCGGAAAAGAUCCAGGCCUUCCGGCUGCUCCGGGAAACUGUGCUGGAGCACCGCAAACAGGAGGCAGUCAACAGGAAGGGGCUGAAGAGACGCCAGCGGGAGAUUUAUGAGGACAUGCAGUAUAAGAAAAUCCUUGCUGUUCGUGAGGCAUUCCAUGGCCAUCCUGCCAUGAUGAAGAAACAAGAGAAACAAACACUUGAGGAUGGCCAGCAGGCAGACGAAGAGAAAACAGCUGCCACUGUUGCUGCCACCCAGCAGCCCGCCAAACCACCCAAGAGUGCUGGCAAGAAGAAGUGAUGGCCACUGGCUCACCUUCACUUCUCCGAAGCCACCGCCUCUCAGCAUGAUGGGGAUCUCAGCUUGUCUCAACACUGUAAAGAUCUCAAUUCAGUCACAACGUUGCAACAUAUGCUUGAUGAGAUAAUAUUUAAUAAAUAUUUUUGGUGUCCAGAGGUGUGUGUGUGUGCGCGUGCGUGUGCGUACAUCUGUUGUUUCUG